Molecule: ribosomal RNA, 253 nt
Filed under: uncultured bacterium
Lineage: Bacteria
Description: partial 16S ribosomal RNA
Rfam family: Bacterial small subunit ribosomal RNA
Source: RNAcentral
UACAGAGACUGCAAGCGUUAUUCGGAUUCACUGGGCGUAAAGGGUGCGCAGGUGGUUGUGUGUGUCAGAUGUGAAAUCCCGGAGCUUAACUCCGGAACUGCGUCUGAAACUGCACGACUAGAGCAUUGGAGAGGGUAGUGGAAUUCACGGUGUAGCAGUGAAAUGCGUAGAUAUGACAUAGAACACCAAUUGCGUAGGCAGCUUACUACACGAUCAUUGACGCUGAGGCACGAAAGCGUGGGGAUCAAACAGG